CCCCAAGCGGGACCCUGGGCGCUAGGGGAGAGGCGUGGGGCGUUCCCGCCGGCAGUGCGGUGACGUCUCUGCCCCAAGUGCUCUCCCGGGCUGCCCUGGGGAGGAAGUAGAGCCACGACCCCCUGAGGGGCACCCGGAGGAAACCCCCCAGCCCCACGCAAGGCUUGAGGACGGACUGGCCAGGGAGGCUGUGACCCCAGGCUGCCGGGAAAGGGGCUGUAUCCACCUCCCCCGGAGUCGCAGGAAGCCACCCCCCAGGCUGCUGGGGAGAGAGCAGACCCCUGGGGCCCCCGCGGACGAUCCAGAGGGCAGGGUCCCCGCCCGGAGGAGGGGUCCCGGCAGGAGACAGUCCUACAGCACCCAGGGGCCCAACAAGCCCUGAGGGGAGCCCGUCCCUCACGGUGACCGCAGCCACUCCCGGGCGCCUCAGCCUGCCGGGAGAGGGUCUGAUUAUAAGGACGGGGCUGCCGGCUUUGGCGCAGAUCCCGGGGCCGACGCUCCUCCGAGGGGGCGGGCAGCGCCGUCGCCAUCUUGCGGGGCGCAGGCCGGGUGGAGGCAGAAGGAAGGGGGGGGGCAUACCGCUUCUGGUUCGCUCGGCGGUUUGCUCACUUCCCCUUUUGGGGCGCCGGGGUCGGCUCCCCGCCUCCUCCCGCCCGCCCCCACUUCCACCUCGCAGCGAGCGGUCGAAAGGCCGGCAGCGGUGCCAGCGCCGGGCCGAACGUGCGCAGCCGCGGGGAACACAGCUGCCGCACGUAGCUCGGCGGCGGGGACGUCCGCAGACCCAGACCGCCCGGCUCAACGUGGUCCCGCGCCCCGCCGGGGCCGGGGUCGCCCACCAGCCCCUGGAGCGGGCGCGCGGUUCCCGGGAGCGCACGUGCGCACACCCGGGUGGAGGGCGCAGGGCGCGCGGACGCCUCCUCGGAACGACAGGCGAAUGCCUGCAAACUGCUGGGCCCGGCCUCCGCCUCUCACUGUCCCCUCGCUGUGGGGUUGGGGGGGGCGUAACAUCUGGGGACACCGAGGGAGGCGGCUCAGAGCCGGCAGGGGCCCCAGGUGCUGCCACCUGGCUCCAGACUGCGGGGCUGCAAACCCGAGAGGAGGAUGCGGGCGUGGGGUGGGCGGGGCC
Long non-coding RNA from Choloepus didactylus (southern two-toed sloth), 1126 nucleotides. RefSeq lists it as uncharacterized. The record is from RefSeq and is a predicted model, not a curated record. The transcript is spliced from 3 exons. NCBI's taxonomy places the organism in Eukaryota, Metazoa, Chordata, Mammalia, Pilosa, Megalonychidae.